AUUGAACGCUGGCGGCAGGCCUAACACAUGCAAGUCGAGCGGUAGCACAGGAGAGCUUGCUCUCUGGGUGACGAGCGGCGGACGGGUGAGUAAUGUCUGGGAAACUGCCUGAUGGAGGGGGAUAACUACUGGAAACGGUAGCUAAUACCGCAUAAUGUCGCAAGACCAAAGAGGGGGACCUUCGGGCCUCUUGCCAUCAGAUGUGCCCAGAUGGAUUAGCUAGUAGGUGGGGUAACGGCUCACCUAGGCGACGAUCCCUAGCUGGUCUGAGAGGAUGACCAGCCACACUGGAACUGAGACACGGUCCAGACUCCUACGGGAGGCAGCAGUGGGGAAUAUUGCACAAUGGGCGCAAGCCUGAUGCGGCCAUGCCGCGUGUAUGAAGAAGGCCUUCGGGUUGUAAAGUACUUUCAGCGAGGAGGAAGGCAUUGUGGUUAAUAACCACAGUGAUUGACGUUACUCGCAGAAGAAGCACCGGCUAACUCCGUGCCAGCCGCCGCGGUAA
This 505-nucleotide ribosomal RNA is filed under the name uncultured bacterium. RNAcentral's name for it is "partial 16S ribosomal RNA". It matches the Rfam family "Bacterial small subunit ribosomal RNA", at positions 30 to 523 of the family's 1533-position model. The record is from RNAcentral.